RNAcentral lists this ribosomal RNA (254 nucleotides) under uncultured bacterium. RNAcentral's name for it is "partial 16S ribosomal RNA". It matches the Rfam family "Bacterial small subunit ribosomal RNA", at positions 524 to 776 of the family's 1533-position model. The record is from RNAcentral.
UACGUAGGGGGGCAAGCGUUGUCCGGAUUCAUUGGGCGUAAAGAGCGUGUAGGCGGCCUGGAAGGUCAGCUGUGAAAACUCGAGGCUCAACCUCGAGACGUCGGUUGAAACCGUCUGGCUAGAGUCCGGAAGAGGAGAGUGGAAUUCCCGGUGUAGCGGUGAAAUGCGCAGAUAUCGGGAAGAACACCCGUGGCGAAGGCGGCUCUCUGGGACGGUACUGACGCUGAGACGCGAAAGCGUGGGGAGCGAACAGG